This 484-nucleotide ribosomal RNA is filed under the name uncultured bacterium. Its description in RNAcentral is "partial 16S ribosomal RNA". It matches the Rfam family "Bacterial small subunit ribosomal RNA", at positions 30 to 507 of the family's 1533-position model. The record is from RNAcentral.
AUUGAACGCUGGCGGCAGGCCUAACACAUGCAAGUCGAGCGGAUGAAGGGAGCUUGCUCCUGGAUUCAGCGGCGGACGGGUGAGUAAUGCCUAGGAAUCUGCCUGGUAGUGGGGGAUAACGUCCGGAAACGGGCGCUAAUACCGCAUACGUCCUGAAGGAGAAAGUGGGGGAUCUUCGGACCUCACGCUAUCAGAUGAGCCUAGGUCGGAUUAGCUAGUUGGUGGGGUAAAGGCCUACCAAGGCGACGAUCCGUAACUGGUCUGAGGGGAUGAUCAGUCACACUGGAACUGAGACACGGUCCAGACUCCUACGGGAGGCAGCAGUGGGGAAUAUUGGACAAUGGGCGAAAGCCUGAUCCAGCCAUGCCGCGUGUGUGAAGAAGGUCUUCGGAUUGUAAAGCACUUUAAGUUGGGAGGAAGGGCAGUAAGUUAAUACCUUGCUGUUUUGACGUUACCAACAGAAUAAGCACCGGCUAACUUCGUG